AUUGAACGCUGGCGGCAGGCCUAACACAUGCAAGUCGAACGGUAACAGGAAGAAGCUUGCUUCUUUGCUGACGAGUGGCGGACGGGUGAGUCAUGUCUGGGAAACUGCCUGAUGGAGGGGGAUAACUACUGGAAACGGUAGCUAAUACCGCAUAACGUCGCAAGACCAAAGAGGGGGACCUUCGGGCCUCUUGCCAUCGGAUGUGCCCAGAUGGGAUUAGCUAGUAGGUGGGGUACCGGCUCACCUAGGCGACGAUCCCUAGCUGGUCUGAGAGGAUGACCAGCCACACUGGAACUGAGACACGGUCCAGACUCCUACGGGAGGCAGCAGUGGGGAAUAUUGCACAAUGGGCGCAAGCCUGAUGGAGCCAUGCCGCGUGGAUGAAGAAGGCCUUCGGGUUGUAAAGUACUUUCAGCGGGGAGGAAGGGAGUAAAGUUAAUACCUUUACUCAUUGACGUUACCCGCAGAAGAAGCACCGGCUAACUCCGUG
Molecule: ribosomal RNA, 490 nt
Filed under: uncultured bacterium
Lineage: Bacteria
Description: partial 16S ribosomal RNA
Rfam family: Bacterial small subunit ribosomal RNA
Source: RNAcentral